This 1411-nucleotide ribosomal RNA is filed under the name activated sludge metagenome. RNAcentral's name for it is "bacterial LSU rRNA". It matches the Rfam family "Bacterial large subunit ribosomal RNA", at positions 1118 to 2522 of the family's 2925-position model. The record is from RNAcentral.
ACCCUUGAAAGAGUGCGUAAUAGCUCACUGGUCGAGCGUCUCUGCGCCGAAAAUGUAGGGGGCUAAGCCCGCCGCCGAAGCUGCGGAAUGCGCGCAAAUUGCGCGGAUUGGUAGGGGAGCGUUCCAUGCGGGGAGAAGUCGGGUUGAGAAGCCCGGUGGACUGCAUGGAAGUGAGAAUGUCGGCAUGAGUAGCGAAAAACACGUGGGAAACGUGUUCACCGAAAGCCCAAGGUUUCCUGGGGAAGGUUCAUCCACCCAGGGUUAGGCGGGACCUAAGGCGAGGCCGAGAGGCGUAGUCGAUGGACAGCCGGUUGACAUUCCGGCCCCGCCCCGGUGACGAUUGGACCGAAGGGGUGACGCAGGAGGCUAGGUGUGCCGGGUGAUGGAAGUCCCGGUCCAAGGGUGUAGGGGGACUCUGGAGGCAAAACCCUGGAGUCGGAACCCUGAGGCCUGACGGGGAGUCCCGUUUGGGACGAAGGCAUUGAGGCCAUGCUGCCGAGAAAAGCCUCUAGGGAGGAGCCGGGGCGCCCGUACUGGAAACCGACACAGGUGGGCUGGCUGAGCAGGCUAAGGCGGACGGGAUAACUCUCGUUAAGGAACUCUGCAAGUUGACCCCGUAACUUCGGGAGAAGGGGUGCCACCCUGGUGAAGCGUUAAGCAUGUCCGAGCCGAGGGUGGUCGCAGAAACCAGGCCCAGGCGACUGUUUAAUAAAAACACAGGUCUCUGCUGAAGGCGUGAAGCCGACGUAUAGGGACUGACACCUGCCCGGUGCUGGAAGGUUAAGGGGAGAGGUUAGCCGCAAGGCGAAGCUUUGAACCGAAGCCCCAGUAAACGGCGGCCGUAACUAUAACGGUCCUGUCGGGUAAGUUCCGACCUGCACGAAUGGUGUAACGAUCUGGGCGCUGUCUCGACGGGAGACCCGGCGAAAUUGUGGAACUGGUCAAGACGCCAGUUGCCCGUGGUGGGACGGAAAGACCCCGUGGAGCUUUACUGUAUCCUGAUAUUGGAUUUCGGCAAGGCAUGUACAGGAUAGGUGGGAGGCAUGGAAGCGAGGGCGUCAGCCUUCGUGGAGCCGACGUUGGGAUACCACCCUUGUUUUGCUGGGAUUCUAACCGCCGUGUCUGAAUCGGCAGGCGGGACCGUGUCAGGUGGGCAGUUUGACUGGGGCGGUCGCCUCCCAAAGAGUAACGGAGGCGCGCGAAGGUCACCUCAGGGCGAAUGGAAACCGCCCGUUGAGUGCAAGGGUAUAAGGUGGCCUUACUGUGAGACCGACGGGUCGAGCAGUCACGAAAGUGGGUCCUAGUGAUCCGGCGGUACCGAGUGGAAGGGCCGUCGCUCAUCGGAUAAAAGCUACCCCGGGGAUAACAGGCUUAUCUCCCCCAAGAGUUCACAUCGACGGGGAGGUUUGGC